GAUGAACGCUGGCGGCGUGCCUAAUACAUGCAAGUCGAGCGAACGGACGAGAAGCUUGCUUCUCUGAUGUUAGCGGCGGAAGGGUGAGUAACACGUGGAUAACCUACCUAUAAGACUGGGAUAACUUCGGGAAACCGGAGCUAAUACCGGAUAAUAUUUUGAACCGCAUGGUUCAAAAGUGAAAGACGGUCUUGCUGUCACUUAUAGAUGGAUCCGCGCUGCAUUAGCUAGUUGGUAAGGUAACGGCUUACCAAGGCAACGAUGCAUAGCCGACCUGAGAGGGUGAUCGGCCACACUGGAACUGAGACACGGUCCAGACUCCUACGGGAGGCAGCAGUAGGGAAUCUUCCGCAAUGGGCGAAAGCCUGACGGAGCAACGCCGCGUGAGUGAUGAAGGUCUUCGGAUCGUAAAACUCUGUUAUUAGGGAAGAACAUAUGUGUAAGUAACUGUGCACAUCUUGACGGUACCUAAUCAGAAAGCCACGGCUAACCACGUG
Molecule: ribosomal RNA, 497 nt
Filed under: uncultured bacterium
Lineage: Bacteria
Description: partial 16S ribosomal RNA
Rfam family: Bacterial small subunit ribosomal RNA
Source: RNAcentral